Molecule: long non-coding RNA, 3106 nt
Filed under: Homo sapiens (human)
Lineage: Eukaryota; Metazoa; Chordata; Mammalia; Primates; Hominidae
Description: long independently transcribed non-coding RNA 2915 (LINC02915)
Source: RNAcentral
UGACAAUCGCUCCAUUCCUUCAGCAGGAUGUACACAGAGAUAUAACUUUCUACAGCAUCCACUGCAGCUCUGGGCUCCAUUUCCCUUUGAAAUGGGAUGGGAGAAAGGGGCAGGUAACAGACUGGAGUGAGGAGACUGAGGAGAAACUGUAGAGAAUAAUACUUAGGAGUACACGUGCUGGAUUCUCUCAUUAAGGAAAUAUUCAUGAGUCAACUAUCCAGAAUCAUAGUUAUUAUUCAAGCGGUGUGGGUUUAAAAGGAGAUUUGAUGCCAUGGCAAACCUCACUGACUUAGACUGUUCUUCAAGUUAAAGAGCAGGAUGAUGUCUGAAGUGGCUGAAACACAUAUGGCUUCAGUGUGUCAAGAAGACCUGAAAGAUCCCACAUGGAAGUGAAAUUCAUUACUGGCAAGCACGGUGGCAGGAGACCCCAGAGGGCUGAGCCGCAAAGAAUUUGCAGAGCCUUAUGGCUAACUCCAUGGCCUAGUUUGAUCUUGAAGUUACUGUCUUGGAUAAUCCUCUCAAAUCUGUUCCUGCACUUAAGAGCCACUCAUCACAUGACGGAGCUCCCUCUCAGGUUCCUUUACAUCGCCCUGUCAGAAAUGACUUUCAGGGAACAGACAUCACAUCAAAUCAUCCAACAGAUGUCCCUUUCAAAUAAGUUGGAGCAGAACCAACUAUAUGGAGAAGUCAUAAACAAAGAAACAGACAACCCAGUGAUUUCCAGCGGAUUGACAUUACUCUUUGCACAGAAACCUCAGUCUCCUGGGUGGAAGAACAUGAGUUCAACAAAGCGUGUGUGCACUAUAUUGGCUGACUCUUGCCGUGCUCAGGCUCAUGCUGCUGACAGGGGAGAGAGGGGACAUUUUGGAGUCCAAAUCUUGCAUCAUUUCAUUGAAGUGUUCAAUGUCAUGGCUGUAAGAAGUAACCCAUUUUAAUAACUGGCAUCAAAGGAUUUAGGAGAGAGAAACCCAGUAUCCAGACCCAUUUCCGUCAGUGACACUCUCCUCGUAUUGGGAGGAUUGGCCAGAAUCGUCUGAUUCCUGUUUCUGAUUUCCUUCCUCACUGGCAUCAGAGUAUUUCACUAUAGGAAAACUAAUAUCUAACUGAGCUCCAAGUGCUAAAUAACAGCAUCUCAUGUUCAUUCCGGGUCACCAAGAGGUUCAGGGUGACCAAGUCACAAACUAUAAAUUUGAACAUUUGAUGAUUUUUGCAGGAGACUGGGUGAACAAAGGAAAACCCGAGAGAUACAUAAAGGUGGAAACUAGGAUUUCUCAUUUGAAUUAUUUAACAUGCCUCACUCUAAUGGUUAUAAAUGUAAAGGAAAUGCAGGUUCUUCAAGAAGGUGAAACGAAGUUACUGAAUUUAAGUUUUUUUUUUUUUAAACCUACUUUAGAAUAGGAAACAUGCUUACUAAUAUUUACAAGGCACUACAAGGCACCAGCCAAAAAGCCUGAUUUAUUGGCAGGAUAUUCUUGUUGUUGUUGUUUCUAUUGUCCAUAUAGGCAGGCAAUUAAUACUUUUUAGAAAAUUAAGUUGCCAACUCAACACUGCCUACUUUUGAAUUUUUAUUCUAGCAACAGCCGAUAAUUUAUUGGAAAUUCCUUAUGUGCUGGGCACUACGCUAGACAUUGGGAGUACGAAAAUUAAUAUGGUAAAGAUCCUGGCUUUAAAGAGUCUUUAACAUUAUUUCAGCAGUUUUAUUACAGGUGUAUAUGUUGGAAUUGACAGAACACUUAGCUCAAAGCAAGGGUUCAAGCAUGACUUUGCAGAGUAGAUUUCAGCUGAGCUUAAAGGAUGUGAGAAUAAGUAUACACAUUUUUUAAAUUACCCAGAAUGUAGUGCCUACAGAAGUGCUUGAGCCUCAGUUGCUUCUAAGAGUCCAACUUCAGAACUUGUAUCUUCUAGAUUGAGCUCAUUGCUUAAUUUCUAGCCAACAUAGCCCAUCUCUCUCAGCUGAAUACUAAGCUCAUCAACUUCUCCUUUGAUCUAGGUCUUGAUUAGAAUGUUGAACAUGACAAGGCUGAAGGCAGAAACCAUAGAAACUUCUAUCCAGAGUUACACUCGUCUCUUAAUAGCUGCCUACUGUUGCAAUCAGAAUAAACUCACUUCUUGCCCAAUUAUGACAGUUCAUUCACCUUCUACUCAAGGGAGACUUUAAGAAUUGUUGAAGUUGAACUUCUCAGGUUCUUAUACUUAGUGACACUGUUCAUGCAAUGGCUCAGUAUUUCUUGAUUUCUCAGAACCAGCAAAAGUCACAAACUGAAUCCUCAAAUUGGAAUUCGUAAGUGACUAACUUGUAGCAUAACUUUAUUAUACUAGGAAAGAUGGGGCAAGGGACAGAAAAAAUAUCUGUAACAUCUUAUAUGUUCAAAUAUAAGCGCUUUAUGUAUAUUUAGUCAUUCAAACUCCAAAUACACAUUAAGAAGUAGUCAUCAAUAUUCCACUCUCUAAUUCUACAAUUUCUACCUUUUUAGAUUCCACAUAUAAGUGAGAUCAUAUGGUAUUUGUCGCUCUGUGCCUGACUUAUCUUACUUAACAUAAUGUCCUUAGGUUCAUCCCUGUUUGAAAAUGGCAGAAUUGCCUGUUUUUUUUUUUAAGGCUAAAUAGUAUCCUAUUUUGUAUAUUCAGCACAUUUUAAAAAAUCUGUUCAUCAGCUGACGGACACUUAGGUUGAUUCCUUAUCUUGGCUCUUGUGAAUAAUGCUGCAAUGAACACAGGAGCUCAAACAUCCCUUUGAAAUACUGAUUUAAAUAUCUUUGGGUAUAAACCCGGAAUUGGCUGUGGGGAGUUAGACAGGGAAAAUGUCCACAUUGCUCUACGGAUACAAAGUUUCAGUUAGGAGGAAUAAUUCUGGUGUUCUAUUGCACAGCACAGUGUCUAUAGUUAAUAGUAAUGUAUUAUAUAUUUCAAAAUAGCUAAACAAAGAGAAUUUUAAUGUUCUUACCGCAACGAAAUAAUUGUUUCAGAAAAUAAAUAUGCUAAUUAGCCUGAUUUGCUCAUUCCACAGUGUAUAUACAUGUAUCAAAAAGUCACAUUGUACCCCAUAAAUAUACAAAAUUAUUUGUCAAUUACAAUAAAACUUUUUUUUAAAAAAAAAAAAAAAAAA